UGUAGUCAUAUGCUUGUCUCAAAGAUUAAGCCAUGCAUGUCUAAGUAUAAGCAAUUAUACCGCGAAACUGCGAAUGGCUCAUUAUAUAAGUUAUCGUUUAUUUGAUAGCACAUUACUACUUGGAUAACCGUGGUAAUUCUAGAGCUAAUACAUGCUAAAAAUCCCGACUUCGGAAGGGAUGUAUCUAUUAGAUUAAAAGCCAACGCCCUUCGGGGCUCUCUGGUGAUUCAUAAUAACUGGUCGAAUCGCAUGGCUUUGCGCCGGCGAUGGUUCAUUCAAAUUUCUUCCCUAUCAACUUUCGAUGCGAGGGUCUUGUCCUCGCAUGGUUGCAACGGGUAACGGAGGGUUAGGGCUCGACCCCGGAGAAGGAGCCUGAGAAACGGCUACUACAUCCAAGGAAGGCAGCAGGCGCGCAAAUUACCCAAUCCCGACACGGGGAGGUAGUGACAAUAAAUACUGAUACAGGGCUCUUUUGGGUCUUGUAAUCGGAAUGAGUACAA
RNAcentral lists this ribosomal RNA (500 nucleotides) under uncultured eukaryote. RNAcentral's name for it is "SSU rRNA". It matches the Rfam family "Eukaryotic small subunit ribosomal RNA", at positions 21 to 523 of the family's 1831-position model. The record is from RNAcentral.